UCUUGAUCGAUCUCAACUUGUUUUAUCUAUAAUAAUAAAGUUGACAAGAAACCCUCCACGAUGAGCCACGUCUCAUCCCCUCCUAUACCCAAACUUCGCCACGUGUCAAUCAGCUGUGUGUCUUCUCAUUCUCUCGCUGAGCUGCUUCAUCUUCUCAGACGACGUUACAGCCUGCGUAAAUUUUAAUCAAUUAAGAGGUUAUGUUCAUUGUUAUUCAAACCGAUCCACCAUGGCGACUUCUCAGGUCAUUUAUCGGAGCUGAAGGCUGGCCGCUGCAUAGAGACUGUUCAGACGAGUCUGCUCCGUUUUUGGGAAUCUUAGAACGUGAAGAAAAGCAAAGAGAUGAUGGGCGUGGAUAUGCUACUUAUUGAUCUAAGGUUAUCCUAAAGGGCAACAAGCCCAACAACCCAAUCCUUUUAUCAUUAUCACUUCGCCUCUGUCGUCUCCAAAUCCCAUUCUUUCCACAGGCUGUUUGUAACCGACAAAGUUAAGUGCAUCCUCCACUCUCCAGCGAUUAAUUUUUAGCUCUUUAUGAUGGCGUUCACUCGAACAGUGAAUCAUGAGGCUGGUUUAUGUGGUUUCUCAUCUGGUAUGUUCUUCUCUGACAGUCGAUUCUCAGUUAUGCAGAUGGGUCCUUCCUAUAUGCCGAGUUGGUGGAAGAGAAAAAGUAUGGAAUUUGGAUACCAAGGUUCUACCAGUCCCUGCCUCUGAGUUACUCUUGGCACUUUCUCAGUGGAGCAGUAAUAUGGAGUACAAUACCCUUCGAAACUUCACUUGGACGUUGUCAGGGCAGACAUAAUAAGCACUCAUUACAAGUGUUGUGUAGCCACGGGGUGUCAUACGACUCAUACCUCCUAAUAGAGUGAGAGUUGCUAUGGAAAUGCAGGCUCAAGCUAAAGUAAAAAUAGAGCACAUACGGGAACACCAAGCCCAUAUCAACAUCGUUGAUAGAAAGGAAAGUUGAGUUUUUAUCUUUUUAUUUGCGACUCAAAGUAGAUUUCACGACAAUGUUUUUAUUUCCUUUUUCUGUUCCUAGCUUAAUUGGGUUUUAUUGAUGUUAUUAAUGUAUAAAAGGCCACCUGCUCAAGAUUUCAUCGCAAUUUUCCUUUUAGAGAUUCGAAGUUUAGAUAUGGUCCUCUGCUUGAGGUUUCAACAGUGUACCAUCACUGGGUUCAAUACACUAGAGCACAUUGGUAGACUUCUACUCUUCAGGUAUCUCUUUAAAGUGUUUCAGAGGGUCGAAGAGUUCUCUGCUUUGAAGUCCCCAACACAAUCCUCACUCGAUUUUGUCUUGGAGGCACUAUGAGAUGAGAGCAUUAAAACGGAUCCAGUUUUUGUAUUCAUUUUCGAUUCUUCUUGCAUAUCUCUAUUUUCAUUAUGUGUUUGUUAGUCGUGGAUUGAUCAUUUCUUUUUGUUCUGCGUACGAUAUUAUCAAGUUUUCAGUCACUGUUUGUCAAUUAUUAAGAUAAGCUCUAGCCUCUCA
This is a long non-coding RNA of Raphanus sativus (radish), 1483 nucleotides long. RefSeq lists it as uncharacterized. The transcript is spliced from 7 exons. Lineage: Eukaryota; Viridiplantae; Streptophyta; Magnoliopsida; Brassicales; Brassicaceae. The record is from RefSeq and is a predicted model, not a curated record.